UACCUACGGGACGCAGCAGUGAGGAAUAUUGGUCAAUGGACGCAAGUCUGAACCAGCCAUGCCGCGUGCAGGAAGACGGCUCUAUGAGUUGUAAACUGCUUUUGUACGAGGGUAAAUGCAGGUACGUGUAUCUGUUUGAAAGUAUCGUACGAAUGAGGAUCGGCUAACUCCGUGCCAGCAGCCGCGGUAAUACGGAGGAUCCAAGCGUUAUCCGGAUUUAUUGGGUUUAAAGGGUGCGCAGGCGGCGAGUUAAGUCAGCGGUAAAAUUUCGGGGCUCAACUCCGACGAGCCGUUUAAACUGGCUU
RNAcentral lists this ribosomal RNA (305 nucleotides) under uncultured bacterium. RNAcentral's name for it is "bacterial SSU rRNA". It matches the Rfam family "Bacterial small subunit ribosomal RNA", at positions 335 to 639 of the family's 1533-position model. The record is from RNAcentral.